UUAGGUGAGCUUAUGUUUAGUUAGGUUAGAUUUGGGUCAGGUUAGGUUAAGAUAGGUUAGGUUAGGUUAGGUUAGGGUUUAGUUAGGUUAGAUUUGGGUCAGGUUAGGUUAAGAUAGGUUAGGUUAGGUUAGGUUAGGUUAGGUGAGCUUAUGUUUAGUUAGGUUAGAUUUGGGUCAGGUUAGGUUAAGAUAGGUUAGGUUAGGUUAGGUUAGGGUUUAGUUAGGUUAGAUUUGGGUCAGGUUAGGUUAAGAUAGGUUAGGUUAGGUUAGGUUAGGGUUUAGUUAGGUUAGAUUUGGGUCAGGUUAGGUUAAGAUAGGUUAGGUUAGGUUAGGUUAGGUUAGGUUAGGGUUUAGUUAGGUUAGAUUUGGGUCAGGUUAGGUUAGGUUAGGUUAGGUUAGGUUAGGUUAGGUUAGGUGAGCUUAUGUUUAGUUAGGUUAGAUUUGGGUCAGGUUAGGUUAGGUUAGGUUAGGUUAGGUUAGGUGAGCUUAUGUUUAGUUAGGUUAGAUUUGGGUCAGGUUAGGUUAAGAUAGGUUAGGUUAGGUUAGGUUAGGUUAGGUUAGGUGAGCUUAUGUUUAGUUAGGUUAGAUUUGGGUCAGGUUAGGUUAAGAUAGGUUAGGUUAGGUUAGGUUAGGUUAGGUGAGCUUAUGUUUAGUUAGGUUAGAUUUGGGUCAGGUUAGGUUAAGAUAGGUUAGGUUAGGUUAGGUUAGGUUAGGUGAGCUUAUGUUUAGUUAGGUUAGAUUUGGGUCAGGUUAGGUUAAGAUAGGUUAGGUUAGGUUAGGUUAGGUUAGGUGAGCUUAUGUUAGUUAGGUUAGAUUUGGGUCAGGUUAGGUUAAGAUAGGUUAGGUUUAGAUUAGGUUAGGUGAGGCGAGAUUAUUAUUAUUAUUUUUUACAACAAAGGAGGCAGCUCAAGGGCACAAAAAAAGGAAACAAUAAAAAAAAAGCCCGCUACUCGCUGCUCCUAAAAAAAGAAUCCAAAGAGGUGGCCGAAAGAGAGGUCAAUUUCGGGAGGAGAGGUGUCCUGAUACCCUCCUCUUGAAAGAGUUCAAGUCGUAGGCAGGAGGAAAUACAGACGAAGGAAGGCUGUUCCAGAGUUUACCAGUGAAGGGGAUGAAAGAAUGGAGAUGCUGGUUAACUCUUGCAUAAGGGGUUUGGACAGUAUAGGGAUGAGCAUGAGUAGAAAGUCGUGUGCAGCGGGGCCGCGGGAGGGGGGGAGGCAUGCAGUUAGCAAGUUCAGAAGAGCAGUUAGCGUGGAAAUAGCGAUAGAAGAUAGAAAGAGAGGCAACAUGGCGGCUGAAUUUAAGAGGUAGAAGACUAUCAGUAGGAGGAGGAGAGCUGAUGAGACGAUGAGCCUUAGACUCCACUCUGUCCAGAAGAGCUGUGUGAGUGGAGCCCCCCCACACGUGAGAUGCAUACUCCAUACGAGGGCGGACAAGGCCCCUGUAUAUGGUUAGCAACUGCGCGGGGGAGAAGAACUGGCGGAGACAAUACAGAGCUUAGCUGUGUAUCUUCCUCCUUUUCCUCCUUUCCUUCUUCUUCCCUCUUGUCUUCCUCCUCUUCCUCCUUUUUCAUUCUUACUCUUCUUAUUCCUCUCUACUUUUUCUUUCUCCAUUCCAAUCUUUUCCUCCUCCUCUUCCAUAUCUUUCUUUUCCUCUUCUUCCUUUAUUUCUAUCUCUUUCCUUCCUCCUCCUCCUCCUCCUCCUCUUUUUUGCUACAUCUUCCUCUCUCUACCUCUCUCUCUUAACUUUUUUCUCUUCUCCCUUCUUCCAUCUCCUUUUCCUCCUCCUCCUCCUCCUUCUCCUCC
Eriocheir sinensis (Chinese mitten crab) is the source of this 1802-nucleotide long non-coding RNA. RefSeq lists it as uncharacterized. The record is from RefSeq and is a predicted model, not a curated record. NCBI's taxonomy places the organism in Eukaryota, Metazoa, Arthropoda, Malacostraca, Decapoda, Varunidae. The transcript is spliced from 3 exons.